Molecule: ribosomal RNA, 206 nt
Filed under: Shewanella algae
Lineage: Bacteria; Pseudomonadati; Pseudomonadota; Gammaproteobacteria; Alteromonadales; Shewanellaceae
Description: partial 16S ribosomal RNA
Rfam family: Bacterial small subunit ribosomal RNA
Source: RNAcentral
ACUUUAAUUGAAGAGUUUGAUCAUGGCUCAGAUUGAACGCUGGCGGCAGGCCUAACACAUGCAAGUCGAGCGGUAACAUUUCAAAAGCUUGCUUUUGAAGAUGACGAGCGGCGGACGGGUGAGUAAUGCCUGGGAAUUUGCCCAUUUGUGGGGGAUAACAGUUGGAAACGACUGCUAAUACCGCAUACGCCCUACGGGGGAAAGCA